Molecule: long non-coding RNA, 554 nt
Organism: Nothoprocta perdicaria
Lineage: Eukaryota; Metazoa; Chordata; Aves; Tinamiformes; Tinamidae
Exons: 4
Source: RefSeq, a predicted model, not a curated record
UCUUGACAAAUCAAAUUACCACACGGCUGAGCAAUGGCCUUGCGGUCCAGGCAGACUUGGUGUCUCCAGCUGAUGAUUUGUCCCUGUGUGACGGAGCCUCUGGAUGUGGGAAGAGGGAUUCGGGUAGUGUGACAGCAGCACUUGGCAACACGUGGAGUCACAGCGUCAACACCAGGCUCAUACUCCAGUUUGAUGACUUGCCAACGAGACAGAUCCUGGUUGCUAAAUCCCCUGUUGCUCCAUUCUCCACUUUCUACUACACCAUUGAGAAAUCGGGCUUUGUUCUUCAAGAUGGAAAGGACCAAACAAAUCCAACCUGGGAAGGAACCAACCCUGCCCUGCAGAACAUAAAAGUGAGGAACACUGCCUUAAAAGAUCUUUUACCUGAUGCUGCUUUGCCCAGAACUACUGUAGAGACUCCUAGCAAUGCAUCCAGUUUAUAGAAAGACAAUUGCAACCUAGACUAAGGAAUGAAUGAAUGAAUGAAUGAAUGACAGCACUGUUUUGGUUUUGUUUUUCAAAAAUCCAGUGAAGCAGUCAGAGGACAUUCUUCU